UGGGGAAUUUUGGACAAUGGGCGAAAGCCUGAUCCAGCAAUGCCGCGUGUGUGAAGAAGGCCUUCGGGUUGUAAAGCACUUUUGUCCGGAAAGAAAUCCUCUGGGUUAAUACCUCGGGGGGAUGACGGUACCGGAAGAAUAAGCACCGGCUAACUACGUGCCAGCAGCCGCGGUAAUACGUAGGGUGCAAGCGUUAAUCGGAAUUACUGGGCGUAAAGCGUGCGCAGGCGGUUUUGUAAGACGGAUGUGAAAUCCCCGGGCUUAACCUGGGAACUGCAUUCGUGACUGCAAGGCUAGAGUAUGGCAGAGGGGGGUAGAAUUCCACGUGUAGCAGUGAAAUGCGUAGAGAUGUGGAGGAAUACCGAUGGCGAAGGCAGCCCCCUGGGCCAAUACUGACGCUCAUGCACGAAAGCGUGGGGAGCAAACAGGAUUAGAUACCCUGGUAGUCCACGCCCUAAACGAUGUCAACUAGUUGUUGGGGAUUCAUUUCCUUAGUAACGUAGCUAACGCGUGAAGUUGACCGCCUGGGGAGUACGGUCGCAAGAUUAAAACUCAAAUGAAUUGACGGGGUCAUAGCU
This 578-nucleotide ribosomal RNA is filed under the name uncultured bacterium. RNAcentral's name for it is "partial 16S ribosomal RNA". It matches the Rfam family "Bacterial small subunit ribosomal RNA", at positions 355 to 926 of the family's 1533-position model. The record is from RNAcentral.